UUUAUGGGGUAAACAACAACAAGUGUUGCCCCAAGCUGGUGAUACGCGCGUGACAAAUAUCGUAUAAGAAAAGCACGAAAAAAUGAAUAUGACAAAGAUGUGCUCAGUGUUGCCCACUAUUUCAAAACAAACUAUUCUAUACUAAAAAGCCUGUAAGCACAUCCAAUUAUGCAUGUAACCAAUAAUGAAGUUGUCUCCAGAUUGUAGGCACAUUGCAAUUUCGCAAUACACGAAAGUACAUAUAAUUUUAGUUGUUCGCUCAAUGUCAUUUCUAACAACAGGUUAAAAUUGCCUCUAUUAGCUCUUUAAAUUUGAAGCCAGCUUUAAACAGACGCAAGCGUAUUACGCAUCACUGGCACUAGGGCAAGCCGGUCUGGGCAAAUACUAAAGUCACUUUUAGUGUAUAUGUUUUAUGUACAUAGGGCAACACUUAAGUUUUAUAUUUAUUGCUGCUUAUAGAACUUCCAACUAUUUCAGCUCGUGAAAUAACCGCAUUAUCAAAGCUGAAAGUGUUAAUGGAGAUAAGGUGACUUUCUAUUUUGUUUUGCAAAAACACGGCCAAUUAUCACAUGCAUACGAAGAAGAGAGCAGCACACGCCAUUGGCCGCAGCCUGGGAACAUUCCCAUGACAAGUGUUGAUAAAUGUCUGGCGUUUAUCAGUUAAAGCGGCGCUUGAAAUGGCACACAGAUUAACAUUUUAGUUGCUUAUGCAAUAGUUGUAAUAUAAAGUAUAGCUCAUAUCAAUAAUUUGCAUUGUAUAAUCAGCUGUAGAACAGUGGCCGCGCCUCUCUCGCAUGUGGGCAUUGAAUGUGCUGGCUUAUCAGCUCGGCAAAGCGCUUUAAUAACUCAAAGCAAGACAACACCUAUCAAAAA
Long non-coding RNA from Drosophila virilis, 873 nucleotides. RefSeq lists it as uncharacterized. Lineage: Eukaryota; Metazoa; Arthropoda; Insecta; Diptera; Drosophilidae. The record is from RefSeq and is a predicted model, not a curated record.